Molecule: ribosomal RNA, 297 nt
Filed under: uncultured Alphaproteobacteria bacterium
Lineage: Bacteria; Pseudomonadati; Pseudomonadota; Alphaproteobacteria
Description: partial 16S ribosomal RNA
Rfam family: Bacterial small subunit ribosomal RNA
Source: RNAcentral
GCUGGCGGCAGUUCUAACACAUGGAGAGUAAGCGCGUGUAGCAAUACACGAGCGGCGCACGGGUGAUUUUCCCGUGGAUAUCUGCAUUUUGGUUCGGAAUAACCCCGGGAAACUGGGGCUAAUACCGGAUGGUUCCUACGGGAUAAAGAUUUAUCGCCAAAAGAUGAGUCCGCGUCCGAUUAGCUAGUUGGUGAGGUAACGGCUCACCAAGGCAACGAUCGGUAGCUGGUCUGAGAGGACGAUCAGCCACACUGGGACUGAGACACGGCCCAGACUCCUACGGGAGGCAGCAGUGGG